UACGGAGGGGGCUAGCGUUGUUCGGAAUCAUUGGGCGUAAAGGGCGCGUAGGCGGCCGAUCAAGUCGGAGGUGAAAUCCCUCGGCUCAACUGAGGAAUUGCCUUCGAUACUGUUCGGCUUGAGUCCUGGAGAGGGUAGCGGAAUUCCCGGUGUAGCGGUGAAAUGCGUAGAGACCGGGAAGAACACCAGUGGCGAAGGCGGCUACCUGGACAAUUGCUGACGCUCAGGCACGAAAGCGUGGGGAGCAAACAGG
Molecule: ribosomal RNA, 253 nt
Filed under: uncultured bacterium
Lineage: Bacteria
Description: partial 16S ribosomal RNA
Rfam family: Bacterial small subunit ribosomal RNA
Source: RNAcentral